This is a long non-coding RNA of Pipistrellus kuhlii (Kuhl's pipistrelle), 675 nucleotides long. RefSeq lists it as uncharacterized. The record is from RefSeq and is a predicted model, not a curated record. Lineage: Eukaryota; Metazoa; Chordata; Mammalia; Chiroptera; Vespertilionidae. The transcript is spliced from 3 exons.
CUGGUGGUCAGUGUAUAUCAUAAAGACCAGUUUGAUGGUGUGAUACUUCAUUGCAUACAUGUACCAUGUUGUGUUUACCCAUCUGUGAUGGACAUUUGGCUUAUUUCUGUCUUGGACUAUUGUGGGUAAUGCUUCUAUGAACAUUGUCUGACAAGCAUCUGUUUGAGUCCUUCCUUUCAGUUCUUUUGUGUACAUACCUGGAGUGUAAUUGCUGGCUCAUGAUGGAACGUUUUAUUAUGUCAAACACAAAAUGUUUCCUGAGAAAAAAGCUUCAAAGCAUAGGUACAGUUGGCUAGAAAACGUGUGGGCUUCAUCCAUUUGGGAUCAGGCCUUGGAGGACAAGAUGAAUUCAGAGCUUACGUUAAGCAAAACUGAACAGAAAGAGCCAUACUCCAUUUUGAAAGUUUGGCAGCAGUACUUUUUCUUAGAAUUGCCCUCGUGGUGGAAGGUCUAGGUGCAGGCUCUUCGAUGUUUUAUGGAAUCCCUAAUUUUGUGGUUUUUAAAAACACCACAGGUAAGUAUUUUAGUUUCUCUAAGGUUUUCGGAAAGCACCUUUUAAGUUCUGAAAAUUUGUGACUGGCACAUGUUAUGUGAUGAGCAGCUAACAUCACUAAUUUGCUAUGCGUUUAUUUAAAUUUUCCCCUGAACUUUACAUUGCUGUAUUGUUGGUUUUGU